This 253-nucleotide ribosomal RNA is filed under the name uncultured bacterium. RNAcentral's name for it is "partial 16S ribosomal RNA". It matches the Rfam family "Bacterial small subunit ribosomal RNA", at positions 524 to 776 of the family's 1533-position model. The record is from RNAcentral.
UACGGAGGGUGCAAACGUUGCUCGGAAUCAUUGGGCGUAAAGCGCACGUAGGCGGUCCAGCAAGUCGGGUGUGAAAGCCCUCGGCUUAACCGAGGAAGUGCAUUCGAAACUACUGGACUUGAGUACUGAAGAGGAUCGCGGAAUUCCCGGUGUAGAGGUGAAAUUCGUAGAUAUCGGGAGGAACACCAGUGGCGAAGGCGGCCUUCUGGACCAAUACUGACGCUCAUGCACGAAAGCGUGGGGAGCAAACAGG